AAACAUAGCCAGAGGAAGAUAUUUUUGGUUUAACCUGCCCAAUGUAUUAUUGUAUGAAUGGCCGCGGUACCCUGACCGUGCUAAGGUAGCGUAAUCAGUUGGCUUUUAAAUGGAGUCAGGUAUGAAUGGGAUAACCGGGCUUAGCUGUCUCAAAGACAUUUAUUUGAAUUUACUGUUCAAGUGAAAAAGCUUGACGUAAGAAAAGGGACGAGAAGACCCUUAGAAUUUUGUUUAAAGAGGAUUAUCUCCUCUAUGAUUUUGUUGGGGCGACAGAGAAAUAAUUAAAACUUUCUUUAAAUUAAUCAGUCGGAAUUUUCAGGUUAGGAUAAAUUACCUGAGGGAUAACAGCAUAAUUUUAUAAAUAAGUUUGUGACCUCGAUGUUGGGACUAGGAAAGCUAAAUGGGUUAGCUGCUCAUUGUGCGGAUUCUGUUCGAAUUUUAACUCCUACGUGAUCU
RNAcentral lists this ribosomal RNA (456 nucleotides) under Eubranchus sp. n. LLC-2017. RNAcentral describes it as "partial 16S ribosomal RNA". It matches the Rfam family "Archaeal large subunit ribosomal RNA", at positions 1903 to 2675 of the family's 2987-position model. Lineage: Eukaryota; Metazoa; Mollusca; Gastropoda; Nudibranchia; Eubranchidae. The record is from RNAcentral.